GCUUCCUCCAAAAAAGGCACUUGAUUGGCCAAAAUACUCAGAAAACACUUCAAAGGGGUCCACCCCCUGUGGACCGCCACCCGGCACAUCAUAUUCUCCUCGCAACCCUGCCUCACCAAAACGGUCAUAUGAAGACCUUUUCUCAUCAUCUGAUAAUACCUCAUAUGCAGCACUGAUCUCCUUAAAUUUUUCUUCAGCUCCAGGCCCUUUGUUCAUAUCAGGAUGAUACUUGCGAGCAAGCUUGCGAUAAGAUGUUU
RNAcentral lists this unclassified non-coding RNA (257 nucleotides) under Hevea brasiliensis (rubber tree). Lineage: Eukaryota; Viridiplantae; Streptophyta; Magnoliopsida; Malpighiales; Euphorbiaceae. The record is from RNAcentral.